Molecule: ribosomal RNA, 360 nt
Filed under: uncultured bacterium
Lineage: Bacteria
Description: bacterial SSU rRNA
Rfam family: Bacterial small subunit ribosomal RNA
Source: RNAcentral
UCCCGCAAGGGAUGAGUAGAGUGGCAAACGGGUGAGUAACACGUGGGUGACCUGCCUUCGAGUGGGGGAUAACGUCCCGAAAGGGACGCUAAUACCGCAUAACAUCCCGCCUUUUAACAGGUGGACAUCAAAGCUGGGGAUCGCAAGACCUAGCGCUUGAAGAGGGGCCCGCGCCUGAUUAGCUAGUUGGUGGGGUAAUGGCUCACCAAGGCAACGAUCAGUAUCCGGCCUGAGAGGGCGGACGGACACACUGGGACUGAGACACGGCCCAGACUCCUACGGGAGGCAGCAGUGGGGAAUUGUUCGCAAUGGGCGCAAGCCUGACGACGCAACGCCGCGUGGAGGAUGAAGAUCUUCGGG